AGUCACGGUGUGAACAAGCAUGGAGUAUUGACGGAAGCAAGGCGGCUGCCUUGCACAUUUACACACACAUUGACACUUGCACAUUUUCCUCCGACUCCCAUCGGCAAAUCGAGAUUUGUAGUUCAGAAAGUCAGCGCACCAACACAUACAUUACUUGAAGUGCCCGUGAGAAUCAAGACAAAACCGGUUUGGAGCGCUAAAAAAUCAUUGGCUACACCCACUUAUGCAAAUGAAGCUGGGACUUCUGGCUGCGUGCUUUACACCUGCAGUGUUGCCAACUCUUCGUGCAUUGAUGGAAGCUAAGAAACACGCUAAGGAAAUCGAUCGGCAAAAUACUGGAUUUUGCAGUAUUUUUUGUUUGUGGUUGGCAUUUGAUAUUAGAAGGGGCAAGCCGAUAAACGGUGCCCUAGAGCGAGAGAAGGGGAAAAUAGAAGCGAGGCUCGAAAACAUUGCGGGAUCCACGAGCCAGCUCACCCACACCCUCAAAAAUGCCAUGCUAUGCCCUUGAACUUGGUUCAAGGGCAAUAGAAGAGAUGAGAUCAGCUGCAGCAAGAGGGACUGCGUAGAGCAGCUACGCUGAACAUGCCGGCAGUGGAAAAAUAAACAUCGGCAGUGUUAGAGUGUUUAGUGUGUGUGACCGUUUAGAAAAAAUUCGGGAAAAAGGAAACAAACAGACCGGCCAAUCUAGAGGACCUUUUUACCCGAAUCUAAAUAAAAAGGCAUAAGUUGUAUCGGCUGGUCUCCCGUAGAUGGGCCAAAAUUACCAUUCGCCGCGGAAUCCUGGUCACACCCCUGCCCGGGCGUGAGCCCGCCACGCCGCCACCGACAAUAAAAUAAUUAAUUCAUGCAUACAUAAACGCAUACAUAAAUAAUUAAU
Drosophila guanche is the source of this 877-nucleotide long non-coding RNA. RefSeq lists it as uncharacterized. Lineage: Eukaryota; Metazoa; Arthropoda; Insecta; Diptera; Drosophilidae. The record is from RefSeq and is a predicted model, not a curated record. The transcript is spliced from 3 exons.